GAUGAACGCUGGCGGCGGGCCUAAUACAUGCAAGUCGAACGAACAGACGAGAAGCUUUCUCCUUUGGGGUUGGCGGCGGGCGGGGGGGUAAGAAGUGGAUAACAUACUUCUUUUACUGGGGGAAAAUCGGGGGAAAGGUUCGACUAAAACGUAAUAGAUCGAACGGGAUGAGUCAGGGGUGAUAGGCGGUUUUGCGGUCACAUAUAGCGGGAUCGGUGCCGCAUUAGCUGGUGGGUAAGGUAACGGCACACCAAGGCAACGAUGCGUAGCGGAGCUGAGAGGAUGAUCAGCCACACUGGAACUGAGACACGGUCCAGACUCCUACGGGAGGCAGCAGUGGGGAAUCUUGCGCAAUGGGCGCAAGCCUGAUCCAGCCAUACCGCGUGGGUGAUGAAGGCCUUCGGGUUGUAAAGCCCUGUUGUUGGGAAAGAACAGCAGCAUGUUAAUACCCCCCUGUUCUGACGGUACCCAAUGAAUAAGCACCGGCUAACUUCGUG
This 497-nucleotide ribosomal RNA is filed under the name uncultured bacterium. RNAcentral describes it as "partial 16S ribosomal RNA". It matches the Rfam family "Bacterial small subunit ribosomal RNA", at positions 28 to 507 of the family's 1533-position model. The record is from RNAcentral.